This 253-nucleotide ribosomal RNA is filed under the name uncultured bacterium. RNAcentral describes it as "partial 16S ribosomal RNA". It matches the Rfam family "Bacterial small subunit ribosomal RNA", at positions 524 to 776 of the family's 1533-position model. The record is from RNAcentral.
CACGUAGGGGGCGAGCGUUGUCCGGAUUCAUUGGGCGUAAAGAGCUCGUAGGCGGCUCAGUAAGUCGGGUGUGAAAGCCCCGGGCUUAACUUGGGAAUUGCGCUCGAAACUACGUGGCUCGAGUGUGGCAGAGGAAGGUGGAAUUCCACGUGUAGCGGUGAAAUGCGUAGAGAUGUGGAGGAACACCGAUGGCGAAGGCAGCCUUCUGGGCCAACACUGACACUCAUGCACGAAAGCGUGGGGAGCAAACAGG